CCUACGUGUGGCAGCCGUGGGGAAUAUUGCGCAAUGGGCGAAAGCCUGACGCAGCGACGCCGCGUGAGGGAUGAAGGCUUUCGGGUUGUAAACUUCUUUUCUCAGGGACGAAGAAAGUGACGGUACCUGAGGAAUAAGCCACGGCUAACUACGUGCCAGCAGCCGCGGUAAUACGUAGGUGGCAAGCGUUAUCCGGAUUUAUUGGGUGUAAAGGGCGUGUAGGCGGGAGCGCAAGUCAGAUGUGAAAACUCAGGGCUCAACCCUGAGCCUGCAUUUGAAACUGUGUUUCGUGAGUGCUGGGGAGGCAAUCGGAAUUCCGGGUGUAGCGGUGAAAUGCGUAGAUAUACGGAGGAACACCAGUGGCGAAGGCGGAUUGCUGGACAGUAACUGACGCUGAGGCGCGAAAGCGUGGGGAGCAAACAGGAUUAGAUACCCGGGUAGUC
RNAcentral lists this ribosomal RNA (443 nucleotides) under uncultured bacterium. RNAcentral's name for it is "partial 16S ribosomal RNA". It matches the Rfam family "Bacterial small subunit ribosomal RNA", at positions 338 to 795 of the family's 1533-position model. The record is from RNAcentral.